UUGAAGAAAACUUCCCAUACAAUUUGUAUGAAAAUGAAAACUUUUAUUUUUUGCAACUAUAAACUUAUAAAGUUGAUCAGAUAUUCACAAAAUGUAAUUAGAAUAGAGGUCAAUGCAUUUUUGUACAUUUUGUAAUAAAAAUACGUAAUUUAACUAAGCUCCACACUUGAGUACGGGUGCGUUCUAAUAAUGCUGGAGCACUAAAUUAAAAAAUUAAAAUAAAAUAAACACUAAACAAGGUUGUCCGAAUGUGAGAGGAAACUGACAACAGUUUAAAUAAUAGGUAUAUACGGUUCAAGAAAUUAAAAAAAUGUUUAUCUGUACAAUAAAUACGGUAUUUUCGUUUAUAAAUACCAAUUUUCCUCUAUUACCAUAUUUGGACAAAUCACGUCUAACAGCAGCCGAACGCACCCCAACUUUUUUUAAACUUAAAGCAAUGCACCAAUUAUUUAGCGCAAUUUACGCGGUUAUCACACUGAUGCGAAACCGCACACUGCUGCGGUGCGUGAGCGAGACAGCGCUAUGCACGGAUAUAGCGAUGAUCCGCAUCCAACGUGAAUAUAGCUUUAGAUAAAUAUUUAGCAUAAUAUAUAUUUAUAACGAAUGCUUCCUCUGUACUAUAAUAAUUGUUUAUGUCUAGUGCCACUUUAAAGCAAUAAUUAAGGAAACGAAUUUAUGCUAGCUUUUUUUUUAAAGACGGUUAGAGGUUUCUGGGAAACGUGAACCCAAUUGAAUGAUUUCAUAUUAACAAUAUGAAACAUUAUUAUGUUUAUUUACACACAUGAUCGUAACAUGCGGUUCCUGAAUACAUUAUAGAGAGCUUAUAAUAUGUGUGCAGGUAAAACAGUGUAUUGUAUAUGUAACUGUACUUAAUUAGGCAUAAAAGCACUCUGGGUAUUAUGAAAUACCCACACUCAUAUUUUAAUGCCUUUCAUUAUUAAGCAGUUACAUGGAGAUGUGCCCAUCAGUAGUAGAUAAAUAAUAGCUUUUUUUAAUAGUAUUCUUAAGAGUAUUCUUGCAACUGGACUUUUCUUGCAAUAUUUCAAGUGUCACAGAAGUCUCCAACUAUAAAUAAACCUGAUUUCAUAUAUACUGUUGUUAAAAAUGUAUCAUUUCAAUAACUAUAAGGGGUGACUAGUCAAACCCGAUAAGUCGAGUUUUUUUUUUAAAUUCAAAUUAGAACUCCAAGCACGUCACAUAAAGUUCUAAUUCUAAUCGGGUUUGGUCACCCCUCGCAAUAUUCUAAAUGUGUAUAAUGUUGAAAUUGUUUCCAUGUAACUAUGUAACAAAUGUACCUUAUAUAGCGAAUUGAGAUUGUAUUAUAAUAGUAGAAGUAUAGAUAGGUAGACAACCUGACGCGCUUGUGGCUAUUUUCGAUUACUUGUCCAUGACUAUUUCAUAGACAAAAAAAAAAUAAGACGCUUAAAUGGCCUCUACAAUCGUCAUCAAUAAACACAUGCGAUUUGCAAUAUAUCGCGGCAUUUGACCGAUCGAUUGAAUUCGUUGCUCCUACUUAAACCGGCAAUUAUCUAAAAUCGCAUGCCAUUUGUGGCAACUUCUGUAGAAGCCUUAUAUUAGUGUAAAAUAUAUACUCAAACACACCCACUUUGUCAGUAGAAAAAGGUGCGUAAUUCAAAUUUUCUAUGGGAGUGAAGUCAACUCUUCGCAGAACUUAUGGUGGCUAGAAUAGAAGGCAAAAAUAUCAAGUUCUAGCUACUCUAGCUUUUUUAAGUACCCACAGUUUUAUUAUUAUUUUGUAUUUGCUCUUAUUGGACUUUUUUUUUAUACCACGACGGUGGCAAACAAGCAUACGGCCCGCCUGAUGGUAAGCAGUCACCGUAGCCUAUGGACGCCUGCAACACCAGAGAUAUUACAUGCGCGUUGCCGACCCCUUAAAAACCUGUACACUCCUUUUUUAAAGAACCCCAUACUGUAGCCCCUCGGGAAAACCUUACUUUAAACUAGAAAGAAAGAUGGAAAGUACAGAUAUUGUUUUAGAAGGUGUUUAAUGUGAUAAUUAUACUUUGUAAAUAAAUCUUGGAUUUCCAAGUAUUUACUAUAGGAAUUGACGGUUUCCAUUUUGUAUAAUUUCGCGUAGAUUUUUUUCAUGUGGAAAAUAUCACAAUUUUGGAAAGAUUAUUUCUUCUAGCUAUUUUAUGUAACUACUUUUUUAAGCCCGAGUCUGCCUACCAAGUGACAGGCAUAGCCUAGUGUGGGGCCGCAGGAUAUUAUACAAUGUUAAUAAGGUUUUUUCUUUUAAAUAAACAAUUCUUAUAUCUAAAGAUAUCUAACCUUAACGCAAUUUGUAAUAAAAGCUUGCAAUUGAAACAUUUUUAUGAACAGGCAAAAGGAUCUUGCAAACAGGAAAUACCUACUCUAAAACUUAAAACAAGACCACAAACGCGCCAGUUUGGAUACCUCAAAACGUACCUAAUAGCUAAGUUAUUAUAGGGCCGUAGAUUUGUAAUAGCUUUGUAUUAGGGGUUGACUUGCCGUGUAGACAAAUUAGGUGGCAUAUGAUGGACGCUGUUAUCGGCUUGACAAAGCAGAUAUCACUUUUUAAUGACGAGAGAGUGAAAGAGUCACUCUGUAUUUAUCACGCUGUCACGUAGACAACUACGACCAUCAUAGCCGAGGUACUAUAGCAUAUCUUCGCCGCUGGACAUAGGCUGAUAGCAAUGUCAUAUUUCAAGACAGGGAUCGAAAACCGGUAUAUUUUUAAUACAAAUUAACCGGUAUUCAAUUUCGGUAUCUCGGUUGUUUAUGUAUAUUUUUCCAUUUCAUUUAGGUGAUCUAUUGUCGUUACCUAUUUACCAUUCUACAAUAUCAAAGAAAUAUUUCAAAUGCUACGUGCGCAGGUAGCUAAGUGACGUCAGCGACGUCAUAAUGACGUAUAACAUGCUGUUCGAUAUGAUAUUUUGAUUUUAAGUUAUACCGGUAACGAUCCCUGUUUCAAGAUUAUUUUGUUUUAUUUCGGUCUCAAAAUAUAACCGGGCUUACUAUUGUAGUCACAAAAAAAUACGUGCGUGUGAUGUGUAAUCAACAUUUUAUUUAUACUUUUUCUGCUUUUUUAUCGACACCUAGCGAAAGAUAUUCUUGAAAAUUUGACAAAUAACGCUUGUGUACAACCUGGUUUCGUUUAUUAUUUUUAUUACGGUAAACUUUACAUUUUGAUAAAUUUCUUCUUCUACAUCGUUAUUUUCAAACUUAGUUGAAUUCUUUACCUAUUGUAUAAAAUAUUUAAUUUAUUCAUAUUGUAUUUCAGAUACAACACAAAUACAGGUUCGCCUGUGAUUUUUCCCUCAUUGAUUUGUAAUGACAUUUUAUUAUUUAUUUUAAUUUUUUAUCAUGAUGUAAGUAAAUAAAAGUUGCUUUGACA
This is a long non-coding RNA of Cydia strobilella, 3379 nucleotides long. RefSeq lists it as uncharacterized. The transcript is spliced from 2 exons. Lineage: Eukaryota; Metazoa; Arthropoda; Insecta; Lepidoptera; Tortricidae. The record is from RefSeq and is a predicted model, not a curated record.